Molecule: ribosomal RNA, 406 nt
Filed under: Bothriechis guifarroi (Guifarro's palm-pitviper)
Lineage: Eukaryota; Metazoa; Chordata; Lepidosauria; Squamata; Viperidae
Description: partial 12S ribosomal RNA
Source: RNAcentral
GCCCAACCGUAACACACAAUUAAAUUACCAAUUGUUCGCCAAACAACUACGAGUCCCACUUAAAACUUAAAAGACUUGACGGUACUUCACCACGCCCUAGAGGAGCCUGUCUAACAACCGACAACCCACGAUUAACCCAACCCCCUCUUGCCCAACAGUCUAUAUACCGCCGUCGCCAGCUUACCUUGUAAAAGAAAAAAAGUAAGCCAAAUAGCAUCACUAGCACGACAGGUCGAGGUGUAACUUAUGGGGGGGGCCAAGAUGGGCUACAUUCUCAACCGAGCACACGGACAACACCAUGAAAUUGGUCUUCAAAGGCGGAUUUAGCAGUAAGACAGGAAUAGAAUACCUGACUGAACACAACGCAAUGAAGUGUGUACACACCGCCCGUCAUCCCUGCCACCAC